CUACGGGCCGCUGCAGUGGGGAAUAUUGGGCAAUGGGCGAAAGCCUGACCCAGCAACGCCGCGUGAUUGAAGAAGGUCUUCGGAUUGUAAAAAUCUGUCCUUGGGGACGAAAAAAAUGACGGUACCCAAGGAGGAAGCCCCGGCUAACUACGUGCCAGCAGCCGCGGUAAUACGUAGGGGGCGAGCGUUGUCCGGAAUUACUGGGCGUAAAGGGUGCGCAGGCGGCGCUUUAAGUCAGAGGUGAAAUACCCAGGCUUAACCUGGGGGGUGCAUUUGAAACUGGAGUGCUUGAGUGCAGGAGAGGAAAGUGGAAUUCCUAGUGUAGCGGUGAAAUGCGUAGAUAUUAGGAGGAACACCAGUGGCGAAGGCGACUUUCUGGACUGUAACUGACGCUGAGGCACGAAAGCGUGGGGAGCAAACAGGAUUAGAUACCCGUGUAGUC
RNAcentral lists this ribosomal RNA (442 nucleotides) under uncultured bacterium. Its description in RNAcentral is "partial 16S ribosomal RNA". It matches the Rfam family "Bacterial small subunit ribosomal RNA", at positions 339 to 795 of the family's 1533-position model. The record is from RNAcentral.